CUCCUAUUUCUCAUUUUUUUUUUUGGGCCAUUACUUUAAUUGGGCUCGAUUUCAAAUUAGGCCUAGUUCUAGGUCAUAACAUGUUGAAAAAUGUAUCUCAAAGUCAAUUAUCAAUCUGUUGACGGUUGUGCUAUUUGAUGUAAUUGUAUAUGAAUUAAUUAAUAAAAUAUUUAUUUGAUAAUUUUUAUCAUAAGCUUGUA
Molecule: long non-coding RNA, 200 nt
Filed under: Elaeis guineensis (African oil palm)
Lineage: Eukaryota; Viridiplantae; Streptophyta; Magnoliopsida; Arecales; Arecaceae
Description: long non-coding RNA (EGUI_LNC082106)
Source: RNAcentral